AUUGGAGACAGAAGGGUAGAAGCAGGGAGGUCCUUGGAGGAUUGGAGACAGAAGGGUAGAAGCAGGGAGGUCCUUGGAGGAUUGGAGACAGAAGGGUAGAAGCAGGGAGGUCCUUGGAGGAUUGGAGACAGAAGGGUAGAAGCAGGGAGGUCAGUGGAGGAUUGGAGACAGAAGGGUAGAAGCAGGGAGGUCCUUGGAGGAUUGGAGACAGAAGGGUAGAAGCAGGGAGGUCCUUGGAGGAUUGGAGACAGAAGGGUAGAAGCAGGGAGGUCAGUGGAGGAUUGGAGACAGAAGGGUAGAAGCAGGGAGGUCCUUGGAGGAUUGGAGACAGAAGGGUAGAAGCAGGGAGGUCAGUGGAGGAUUGGAGACAGAAGGGUAGAAGCAGGGAGGUCAGUGGAGGAUUGGAGACAGAAGGGUAGAAGCAGGGAGGUCCUUGGAUGAUUGGAGACAGAAGGGUAGAAGCAGGGAGGUCCUUGGAGGAUUGGAGACAGAAGGGUAGAAGCAGGGAGGUCCGUGGAGGAUUGGAGACAGAAGGGUAGAAGCAGGGAGACCCUUGGAGGAUUGGAGACAGAAGGGUAGAAGCAGGGAGGUCCUUGGAGGAUUGGAGACAGAGGGAAGGGUAGCAGUGACAUUGGAGACAGAGGGGUAAGGGGAGCAGUGCCUUUGGAGACAGAGGGGAAAUGUAGCAGUGACAUUGGAGACAGAGGGGUAAGGGUAGCAGUGACAUUGGAGACAGAGGGUAAGGGGAGCAGUGACAUUGGAGACAGAGGGGUAAGGGUAGCAGUGACAUUGGAGACAGAGGGGUAAGGGUAGCAGUGACAUUGGAGACAGAGGGGUAAGGGUAGCAGUGACAUUGGAGACAGAGGGGUAAGGGUAGCAGUGACAUUAGAGACAGAGGGGUAAGGGGAGCAGUGACAUUAGAGACAGAGGGGUAAGGGGAGCAGUGACAUUAGAGACAGAGGGGUAAGGGGAGCAGUGACAUUGGAGACAGAGGGGUAAGGGUAGCAGUGACAUUGGAGACAGAGGGUAAGGGUAGCAGUGACAUUGGAGACAGAGGGGAAGGGUAGCAGUGACAUUGGAGACAGAGGGGUAAGGGAGCAGUGACAUUGGAGACAGAGGGGUAAGGGGAGCAGUGACAUUGGAGACAGAGGGUAAGGGUAGCAGUGACAUUGGAGACAGAGGGAAAUGUAGCAGUGACAUUAGAGACAGAGGGGUAAGGGUAGCAGUGACAUUGGAGACAGAGGGUAAGGGUAGCAGUGACAUUGGAGACAGAGGGUAAGGGUAGCAGUGACAUUAGAGACAGAGGGGUAAGGGUAGCAGUGACAUUGGAGACAGAGGGGUAAGGGUAGCAGUGACAUUGGAGACAGAGGGGUAAGGGUAGCAGUGACAUUGGAGACAGAGGGGUAAGGGUAGCAGUGACAUUGGAGACAGAGGGGUAAGGGUAGCAGUGACAUUGGAGACAGAGGGUAAGGGUAGCAGUUACAUUAGAGACAGAGGGUAAGGGUAGCAGUGACAUUGGAGACAGAGGGUAAGGGUAGCAGUGACAUUGGAGACAGAGGGUAAGGGGAGCAGUGACACUGGAGACAGAGGGGUAAGGGUAGCAGUGACAUUAGAGACGGAGGGGUAAGGGUAGCAGUGACAUUAGAGACAGAGGGGUAAGGGUAGCAGUGACAUUGGAGACAGAGGGGUAAGGGUAGCAGUGACAUUGGAGACAGAGGGUAAGGGUAGCAGUGACAUUGGAGACAGAGGGUAAGGGUAGCAAUGACAUUGGAGACAGAGGGUAAGGGUAGCAGUGACAUUAGAGACAGAGGGUAAGGGUAGCAGUGACAUUGGAGACAGAGGGGUAAGGGGAGCAGUGACACUGGAGACAGAGGGUAAGGGUAGCAGUGACAUUGGAGACAGAGGGGUAAGGGUAGCAGUGACAUUAGAGACAGAGGGGUAAGGGUAGCAGUGACAUUGGAGACAGAGGGUAAGGGUAGCAGUGACAUUAGAGACAGAGGGGUAAGGGGAGCAGUGACAUUGGAGACAGAGGGUAAGGGUAGCAGUGACAUUGGAGACAGAGGGGAAAUGUAGCAGUGACAUUGGAGACAGAGGAGUAAGGGUAGCAGUGACAUUGGAGACAGAGGGGUAAGGGUAGCAGUGACAUUAGAGACAGAGGG
This is a long non-coding RNA of Oncorhynchus keta (chum salmon), 2159 nucleotides long. RefSeq lists it as uncharacterized. Lineage: Eukaryota; Metazoa; Chordata; Actinopteri; Salmoniformes; Salmonidae. The record is from RefSeq and is a predicted model, not a curated record. The transcript has 12 exons.